CGGGAAUAUUGCGCAAUGGGCGAAAGCCUGACGCAGCGACACCGUGUGUAGGAUGAAAAUCUUCGGAUUGUAAACUACUGUCAGUUGAAGACGAAGGCAGUAGAGUUAAGAGCUCGAAUGUUGACGGUAUUCAAUUAGGAAGUCUCGGCUAACUCCGUGCCAGCAGCCGCGGUAAGACGGAGGAGGCAAGCAUUGUCCGGAAUUAUUGGGCGUAAAGAACACGUAGGCGGUUAAUCAAGUCAUAUGUGAAAACCUUGGGCUUAACUUAAGGAUUGCAUAUGAUACUGGUAAACUAGAGUAUAGUAGAGGAAAGCGGAAUUCCUGGUGUAGCGGUGAAAUGCGCAGAUAUCAGGAAGAACACCAGUGGCGAAAGCGGCUUUCUGGACUGUUACUGACGCUGAGGUGUGAAAGCUAGGGGAGCGAAC
RNAcentral lists this ribosomal RNA (425 nucleotides) under uncultured bacterium. RNAcentral describes it as "bacterial SSU rRNA". It matches the Rfam family "Bacterial small subunit ribosomal RNA", at positions 356 to 773 of the family's 1533-position model. The record is from RNAcentral.